CACCGCGGUUAUACGAGAGACUCAAGUUGACAGUCAUCGGCGUAAAGAGUGGUUAGGACAAACAUAAACUAGAGCCGAAUGCCCUCAAAGCUGUUAUAAGCCCUACGAGAGCAAGAAGCCCAACUACGAAAGUGGCUCUAUUAUAUCUGACUCCACGAAAGCUAGGGCA
RNAcentral lists this ribosomal RNA (169 nucleotides) under Chaetodon selene (yellow-dotted butterflyfish). Its description in RNAcentral is "partial 12S rRNA". The record is from RNAcentral. Lineage: Eukaryota; Metazoa; Chordata; Actinopteri; Chaetodontiformes; Chaetodontidae.